GGUCAUUUAGAACUGGCAGACUAGACGUGUGUAGAGAGGAGGGGGAGUGGAAUUCCAGGUGUAGCGGUGAAAUGUCUGUAGAGAUUCUGGAGGAACAGCGACCAAUGGCGAAGGCAACUCCCUGGCCAAAGACUGACGCUCAUGUGCGAAAGUGUGGGUAGCGAACAGGAUUAGAUACCCUGGUAGUCCACACCGUAAACGCUGUCUACUAGCUGUUUGUGGAUUUAAUCCGUGAGUAGCGAAGCUAACGCGAUAAGUAGACCGCCUGGGGAGUACGGCCGCAAGGUUAAAACUCAAAUGAAUUGACGGGGGCCCGCACAAGCGGUGGAGCAUGUGGUUUAAUUCGAUGCAACGCGAAGAACCUUACCUACUCUUGACAUACUAGAAACUUUUCAGAGAUGAAUUGGUGCCUUCGGGAAUCUAGAUACAGGUGCUGCAUGUCUGUCAR
RNAcentral lists this ribosomal RNA (448 nucleotides) under uncultured soil bacterium. Its description in RNAcentral is "bacterial SSU rRNA". It matches the Rfam family "Bacterial small subunit ribosomal RNA", at positions 621 to 1055 of the family's 1533-position model. The record is from RNAcentral.